Molecule: non-coding RNA, 28 nt
Filed under: Mus musculus (house mouse)
Lineage: Eukaryota; Metazoa; Chordata; Mammalia; Rodentia; Muridae
Source: RNAcentral
UUGCCAUAGAUAGUAGUGGGUGCGAGCG